GUCCUUUCAACUACUUUGGCUCUGCACUUUGACUCCUUCACCAGGAAUCCUUCCUGAAACAUUUUACCAAGUCCUUUCAACCAUUGCUGCUCUGCACACUGACCCCUUCACCAGGAAUCCUUCCUGAAACAUUUUACCAAGAAUCGCUCUGAAAAUAAUUUAAAAAGUCCUUUCAACCAUUGCUGCUCUGCACACU
This is a long non-coding RNA of Ctenocephalides felis (cat flea), 196 nucleotides long. RefSeq lists it as uncharacterized. The transcript is spliced from 4 exons. NCBI's taxonomy places the organism in Eukaryota, Metazoa, Arthropoda, Insecta, Siphonaptera, Pulicidae. The record is from RefSeq and is a predicted model, not a curated record.